AAGACCUUGCGCUUUUGGAGCGGCCGAUGCCUGAUUAGCUUGUUGGUAAGGUAAAAGCUUACCAAGGCUUCGAUCAGUAGCUGGUCUGAGAGGACGACCAGCCACACUGGGACUGAGACACGGCCCAGACUCCUACGGGAGGCAGCAGUGGGGAAUUUUGGACAAUGGGGGCAACCCUGAUCCAGCCAUGCCGCGUAAGUGAAGAAGGCCUUCGGGUUGUAAAGCUCUUUCAGCCGGAACGAAACGGUUACGGAUAACACCCGUGACUACUGACGGUACCGGAAGAAGAAGCACCGGCUAACUACGUGCCAGCAGCCGCGGUAAUACGUAGGGUGCGAGCGUUAAUCGGAAUUACUGGGCGUAAAGCGUGCGCAGGUGGUUUUGUAAGUCAGAUGUGAAAGCCCCGGGCUCAACCUGGGAACU
Molecule: ribosomal RNA, 423 nt
Filed under: uncultured bacterium
Lineage: Bacteria
Description: bacterial SSU rRNA
Rfam family: Bacterial small subunit ribosomal RNA
Source: RNAcentral